Molecule: ribosomal RNA, 305 nt
Filed under: uncultured bacterium
Lineage: Bacteria
Description: bacterial SSU rRNA
Rfam family: Bacterial small subunit ribosomal RNA
Source: RNAcentral
GUCCUCCUACGGGGCGCAGCAGUAGGGAAUUUUCGUCAAUGGGCGCAAGCCUGAACGAGCAAUGCCGCGUGAACGAGGAAGGUCUUCGGAUCGUAAAGUUCUGUUGAAGGGGAAAAAGAGCGGAGAGAGGAAAUGGUCUCCGAUUGAUAUUACCCUUCGAGGAAGUCACGGCUAACUACGUGCCAGCAGCCGCGGUAAUACGUAGGAUGCGAGCGUUAUCCGGAUUUAUUGGGUUUAAAGGGUGCGCAGGCGGCACGGCAAGCCGGCGGUCAAAUCGCGGGGCUCAACCCCGCCCAGCCGUCGGG